UGUAUUUUUUUUUGUAGUGUAGCAUUCCACAUCAAAAAUUAUAUUUUUAUCAUUUACCUACUCGAGAACGAGCAGGAAUUAAGCUUGGGGAUACUGAUACGUCUCCGUCGUAUCUAUAAUUUUUGAUUGUUCCAUGCCAAUAUUAUACAACUUUCAUAUACUUUCGGCAACUUUUUAUACUAUUUUUGGGACUAACAUAUUGAUCCAGUGCCCAGUGCCAGUUCCUGUUUGUUGGAUGUUUUUUUCGCAGAAAAUCCAUAUCAAACGGAGUCCAAACGGGAUAAAAACUGACGGAGAUUUUUUUGGAAUAUAUGUGAAUUUUGGGAAGUGGAGUCAACGCGAGACGAUGCUCGAGGGGCCCACAAGGCAGGGGGCAUGCCCCAGGGGGUGGGUGCGCCCCUGACCCUCGUGGCCACCGUGUAAGGCAGUUGGUGUCCUUAUUUUUCCGCAAGAAAGCCAAUAUCCGGAUGGAAAUCGUGUUCACAUUUUAGCCCAAUCGGAGUUAAGGAUCUCCGGGAAUAUAAGAAACGGUGAAAGGGAAGAAUGAGUGAGCGCAGAAACAGAGAGAGACAGAGAGACAGAUCCAAUCUCGGAGGGGCUCUCGCCCCUCCACUGCCAUGGAGGCCAUGGACCAGAGGGCGAACCCUUCUCCCAUCUAGGGAGAAGGUCAAGGAAGAAGAAGAAGAAGAAGGGGCCCCUCUCCCCCUCUCUCCCGGUGGUGCCGGAACGCCGCCGGGGCCAUCAUCAUCACCGCAAUCUACACCAAUACCUCUGUCAUCUUCACCAACAUCUCCAUCACCUUCCCCCAUCUAUCUACAGCGGUCCACUCUCCCGCAACUCGUUGUACCUUCUACUUGAACAUGGUGCUUUAUGCUUCAUAUUAUUAUCCAAUGGUGUGUUGCCAUCCUAUGAUGUCUGAGUAGAUUUUCGUUGUCCCAUCGGUAAUUGGUGAAUUGCUAUGAUUGAUUUAAUUUGCUUGUGGUUACGUUGCUGUUCUUUGGUGCCCAUCAUAUGAGCGCGCGCAUGGAUCACACAUAGGGCUGGUUGUAUGUUGAUAGGACUGUGUAUUGGAGGGCAAGAGUGACAGAAGCUUCAACCUAGUAUAGAAACUGAUGCAUACGGGAUUGAAGGGGGACCAAUAUAUCUUAAUGCUAUGGUUGGGUUUUACCUUAAUGAACGUUAGUAGUUGCGGAUGCUUGCUAAUAGUUCCAAUCAUUAGUGCAUAGAAUUCCAAGACAGGGAUGACAUGCUAGCAGUGGCCUCUCCUACAUAAAACUUGCUAUCGGUCUAGUAAAGUAGUCAAUUGCUUAGGGACAAUUACUCAACUCCUACCACCACUUUUCUACACUCGCUAUACUAAAUUUAUUUCUUCUUUACCUAAAACAGCCCCUAGUUUUUAUUCACACGCUCUUUAUUAUCUUGCAAACCUAUACAAAAACACCUACAAAGUACUUCUAGUUUCAUACUUGUUCUAGGUAAAGCGAACGUUAAGCGUACGUAGAGUUGUAUCGGUGGUCGAUAGAACUUGAGGGAAUAUUUGUUCUACCUUUAGCUCCUCGUUGGGUUCGACACUCUUACUUAUCGAAAGAGGCUACAAUUAAUCCCCUAUACUUGUGGGUUAUCAGUAAAAUUACCUCAUCAAGUUCUACCUUCCUCCCACUCACUUCUUUCGAUAGAAACUCCUUCUCUAGAAAAUAUCUAUUCUUAGCAACGAAUAUCUUGCCUUCGGAUCUAUGAUAGAAGGUGUACCCAACAGUUUCUUUUGGGUAUCCUAUGCAGAUGCACUUCUCCGAUUUGGGUUCGAGCUUAUUAGUUUGAAACUUUUUCACAUAAGCAUCGCAGCCCCAAACUUUAAGAAACGACGGCUUAGGUUUCUUGCUAAACCACAGUUCAUAUGGUGUCGUCUCAAUAGAUUUUUAGACGGUGCGUUAUUUAACGUGAAUGCAACUGUCUCUAAUGCAUAACCCCAAAAUGAUAGUGGUAAAUUGGUAAGAGACAUCAUAAAUCGCACCAUAUCUAAUAAAGUACGGUUACGACGUUUGGACACACCAUUACGCUGUGGUGUUCCAGGUGGCAUGAGUCGACAUUGUUUCAACUGAAGGCCAAACUCAUAACUCAAAUAUUCCGUCUCCGCGAUCAGAUCGUAGAAACUUUAUUUUCUUGUUACGAUGAUUCUCCACUUCACUCCGAAACUCUUUGAACUUUUCAAACGUUUCAUACUUGUGUUUCAUUAAGUAGAUAUACUCAUAUCUGCUCAAAUCAUCUGUGAAGGUCAGAAAAUAACGAUACCCGCCGCGAGCCUCAACACUCAUUGGAUCGCAUACAUCAGUAUGUAUUAUUUCUAAUAAGUCUGUUGCUCGCUCCAUUGUUCCAGAGAACGGAGUCUUAGUCAUCUUGCCCAUGAGGCAUGGUUCGCAAGCAUCAAGUGAUUCCAAAAGUCCAUCAGCAUGGAGUUUCUUCAUGCACUUUACACCAAUAUGACCUAAACGGCAGUGCCACAAAUAUGUUGCACUAUCAUUAUUAACUUUGCUUCUUUUGGCUUCAAUAUUAUGAAUAUGUGUAUCACUACGAUCGAGAUUUAAUAAACCAUUCACCUUGGGUGUAUGACCACAGUAGAUCGUAUUCAUGUAAACAGAAUAACAAUUAUUUUUUGACUUAAAUGAAUAACCGUAUUGCAAUAAACAUGAUCCAGUCAUAUUAUGCUCAACACAAACACCAAAUAACAUUUAUUUUAGGUUCAACACUAAUCCCAAAGGUAAAGGGAGCGUGCGAUGGUGAUCUUAUCAACCUUGGAAUCACUUCCAACACACAUCGUCACCUUGCUCUUAACUAGUCUUUGUUCAUUUUGUAACUCCUGUUUCAAGUUACUAAUCAUAGCGACUGAACCAGUAUCAAAUACCCAGGGGUUACUAUGAACACUAGUAAAGUACACAUUAAUAACAUGUAUAUCAUAUAUACUUUUGUUCACUUUGCCAUCCUUCUUAUCCGCCAAAUAUUUGGAACAGUUUCACUUCCAGUGACCAUUUCCUUUGCAGUAGAAGCACUCAGUUUCAGGCUUGGGUCUAGCUUUGGGCUUCUUCAUGGGAGUGACAACUCGCUUGUCAUUCUUCUUGAAAUUCCCUUUCUUUCCCUUGUCCUUUUACUUGAAACUAGUGGUCUUGUCAACCAUCAACACUUGAUGCUUUUUCUUGAUUUCUACCUUCGCCAAUUUCAACAUCGCGAAGAGCUUGGGAAUCGUUUCCGUUAUAACUUGCAUAUUAUAGUUCAUCACGAAGUUCUAUUAACUUGGUGAUAGUGACUAGAGAACUCUGUCAAUCACUAUCUUAUCUGGAAGAUUAACUUCCACUUGAUUCAAGUGAUUGUAGUACUCAGACAUUUUGAGCACAUGCUCACUAGGUGAGCUAUUCUCCUCCAUCUUGUAGGCAAAGUACAUGUCAGAGGUCUCAUACCUCUUAACACAGGCAUGAGUCUGAAAUACCAAUUUCAGCUCUUGGAACAUCUCAUAUGCUCCAUGGCAUUCAAAACGUUUUUGAAGUCCCGGUUCUAAGCCUUAAAGUAUGGCGCACUAAACUAUCAAGUAGUCAUCAUACCGAGCUUGUCAAACGUUCAUAACGUCUGCAUAUGCUCCUGCAAAAGUCCAUCACCCAACGGUGCAUCAAGGACAUAGUUUUCUCUAGGAACAUAUCAUAAAUAAAACGGGAAGCUAUACGCGAGCAAUUGAUCUACAACAUAGAUAUGUAAAUACUAUCAGGACUAAGUUCAUGAUAAAUUCAAGUUCAAUUAAUCAUAUUACUUAAGAACUCCCACUUAGAUAGACAUCCCUCUAAUCAUCUAAGUGAUCACGUGAUCCAUAACAACUAAACCAUGUCCGAUCAUCACGUGAGAUGGAGUAGUUUUCAAUGGUGAACAUCACUAUGUUGAUCAUAUCUACUAUAUGAUUCACGCUCGACCUUUCGGUCUCAGUGUUCCGAGGCCAUAUCUGCAUAUGCUAGGCUUGUCAAGUUUAACCCGAGUAUUCUGCAUGUGCAAAACUGGCUUGCACCCAUUGUAUGUGAAUGUAGAGCUUAUCACACCCGAUCAUCAUGUGGUGUCUCGGCACGACGAACUGUAGCAACGGUGCAUACUCUGGAAGAACACUUAUACCUUGAAAUUCAGUGAGAAAUCAUCUUAUAAUGCUACUGUCGUACUAAGCAAAAUAAGAUGCAUAAAGGAUAAACAUCACAUGCAAUCAAUAUAAGUGAUAUGAUAUGGCCAUCAUCAUCUCGUGCCUUUGAUCUCCAUCUCCAAAGCAUCGUCAUGAUCACCAUCGUCACCGGCUUGACACCUUUAUCUCCAUCGUAGCAUCGUUGUCGUCUCGCCAACUAUUGCUUCCACGACUAUCGCUACCGCUUAGUGAUAAAGUAAAGCAAUUACAUGGCAUUUGCAUUUCAUACAAUAAAGCGACAACCAUAUGGCUCCUGCCAGUUGCCGAUAAUUGUGUUACAAAACAUGAUCAUCUCAUACAACAAUUUAUAUAAUCACAUCUUGACCAUAUCACAUCACAACAUGUCCUUCAAAAACAAGUUAGACAUCCUCUACUUUGUUGUUCCAAGUUUUACGUGGCUGCUACGGGCUUAGCAAGAACUGUUCUUACCUACGCAUCAAAAACCACAACGCGGUAUAGUGAUUGCUUUUUAAUCUUUAGAAAGAACUCUGUCCAUUGAAUCCGAUUCAACUAAAGUUGGAGAAACUGACACCCGCCAGCCACCUGUGAGCAAAGCACGUCGGUAGAACCAGUCUCAUGAACGCGGUCAUGUAAUGUCGGUCCGGGCCGCUUCAUCCAGCAAUACCGUCGAAUCAAGAAACAACCAGUGACGGCAAGCAAUAUGUAUAUACCCACGCCCACAACUCCUUUGUGUUCUACUCGUGCAUAUAACAUCUACGCAUAAACCUGGCUCGGAUGCCACUGUUGGGAAACAUAGUAUUUCAAAAUUUCCCUACGAUCACGCAAGAUCUAUCUAGGAGAAGCAUAGCAACGAGCGGGGAGAGUGUGUCCACAUACCCUCGUAGACCGAAAGCGGAAGCGUUAAGUAACGCGGUUGAUGUAGUCGAAUGUCUUCGCGAUCCAACCUAUCAAGUACCGAACGCAUGACACCUCCACGAUGUACACACGUUCAGAUCGGUGACAUCCCUCGUACUCUUGAUCCAGCUAAGGCCGAGGGAGAGUUUCGUCAGCACGACAGCGUGGUGACGGUGAUGAUGAAUUUACCGACGCAGGGCUUCGCCUAAGCACUACGACGAUUUGACCGAGGUGGAAAACUGUGGAGGGGGGCACCACACACGGCUAAGAAAAUUUUUGGAGUGCCUUUGGGGUGCCCCCCUGCCCACGUAUAUAAAGGAGGGGGAAGAGGAGGCCUGCCUAAGAGGGGCGCACCUAUAGGGGGAGUCCAACUAGGAUUCCCAAUCCUAGUUGGGUCCCCUUCCAUUUCCAAGAGGGGAGAGAAGGAAGGAGUAGGAGAGGGAGAAGGAAAUAGAGGGGGGCACCGCCCCCUCCCUAGUCCAAUUUAGACUUGCCAUGGGGGGCGCAUGGCCACCCCUUGAGGCCCUUCUCUCCUUUCCCGUAUGGCCCACUACUUCCCCCGACGAAUUCCCAUAACUCUCCGAUACUCUGAAAAAUACCCGAAUCACUCGGAACCUUUCCGAUGUCCGAAUAUAGCCUUCCAAUAUAUCGAUCUUUACGUUUCGACCAUUUUGAGACUCCUCUUCAUGUCCGUGAUCUCAUCUGGGACUCCAAACAACCUUCGGUACAUGAAAUCACAUAACUCAUAAUACAAAUCGUCAUCGAACGUUAAGCGUGCGGACCCUACGGGUUGGAGAACUAUGUAGACACGACCGAGACACAUCUCCGGUCAAUAACCAAUAGCGGGACCUGGAUGCUCACAUUGGCUCCUACAUAUUUUACGAAGAUCUUUAUCGGUCAAACCGCAUAACAACAAAUGUUGUUCCCUUUGUCAUUAGUAUGUUACUUGCCCGAGAUUCGAUCAUUGGUAUCCUCAUACCUAGUUCAAUCUCGUUACUGGCAAGUCUAUUUACUCGUUCCGUAAUGCAUCAUCCCGUAACUAACUCUUUAGUCACAUUGCUUGCAAGGCUUAUAGUGAUGAGCAUUACCGAGAGGGCCCAGAGAUACCUCUCCGACAAUCGGUGUGACAAAUCCUAAUCUCGAUCUAUGCCAACUCAACAAACACCAUCGGAGACACCUGUAGAGCAUCCUUAUAAUCAUCUAGUUACGUUGUGACGUUUGAUAGCACACUAAGUGUUCCUCCGGUAUUUGGGAGUUGCAUGAUCUCAUAGUCAUAGGAACAUGUAUAAGUCAUGAAGAAAGCAAUAGCAACAAACUAAAUGAUCAUAGUGCUAAGCUAACGGAUGGGUCUACUCUAAUGAUGUGACCCCGUUCAUCAAAUGACAACACAUAUCCAUGGCUAGGAAACUUAACCAUCUUUGAUUAACGAGCUAAUCAAAUAGAGGCAUACUAGGGACACUCUGUUUGUCUAUGUAUUCACACAUGUACUAAGUUUCCGGUUAAUACAAUUCUAGCAUGAAUAGUAAACAUUUACCAUGAUAUAAGGAAAUAUAAAUAACAACGUUAUUAUUGCCUCUAGGGCAUAUUUCCUUCAAGAAUGGCCAUGGCAACCAGCGCCACGAUCUCCCGGCGGCAGCCAAAUGUUGGGGAACGUAGUAAUUUCAAAAAAUUUCCUACGCACACGCAAGAUCAUGGUGAUGCAUAGCAACAAGAUGGAAGAGUAUCGUCCACAUACCCUCGUAGACCGUAAGUGGAAGCGUUAUGAGAACGUGGUUGAUGUAGUUGUACGUCUUCACGUUCCGACCGAUCCAAGUACCAAACGUACGGCACCUCCGAGUUCAGCACAUGUUCAGCUCGAUGACGUCUCACUAACUCUGAUCCAGCAGAGCUUCACAGGAGAGUUCCCUCAACAUGACGGCGUGAUGAUAGUGAUGAUGUUGCUACCGACGCAGGGCUUCGCCUAAGCACCGCUAUGAUAUGAUCGAGGUGGAUUAUGGUGGAGGGGGCACCGCACACGGCUAAGGGAUCAAUGAUCAACUUGUGUGUCUUGGGGUGCCCCUGCCCCUGUAUAUAAAGGAGCAAGGGGGAGGUGCUACCUCCUGAGCACUACGUUGGUUUUCCCCGAAGAGGAAGGGAUGAUGCAGCAAAGUAGCGUAAGUAUUUCCCUCAGUUUUUGAGAACCAAGGUAUCAAUCUAGUAGGAGGCUACGCGUGAGUCCCUCGCACCUGCACAAAACAAAUAAAUCCUCGCAACCAAUGCAAAUAGGGGUUGUCAAUCCCUAUAGGGCCACUUACGAGAGUGAGAUCUGAUAGAUAUGAUAAGAUAAUAUUUUUGGUAUUUUUAUGAUAAAAUAUGCAAAGUAAAAUAAAGGCAAAGUAAAUAGCAAAGGAAAUGACUAAGUAGUAGGAUAUCAAUAUGAUAAAGAUAGACCCGGGGGCCAUAGGUUUCACUACUGGCUUCUCUCGAGAGCAUAAUUAUUCUACGGUGGGUGAACAAAUUACUGUUGAGCAAUUGACAGAAUUGAGCAUAGUUAUGAGAAUAUCUAGGUAUGAUCAUGUAUAUAGGCAUCACGUCCGAGACAAGUAGACCGACUACUGCCUGCAUCUACUACUAUUACCCCACUCAUCGGCCGCUAUCCAGCAUGCAUCUAGAGUAUUAAGUUAAAAACAGAGUAACACCUUUAGCAAGAUGACAUGAUGUAGAGGGAUAGACUCAUGCAAUAUGAAGAAAACCCCAUCUUGUUAUCCUCGAUGGCAACAAUACAAUACGUGCCUUGCUGCCCUUACUGUCAGCGGGAAAGGACACCGCAAGAUUGAACCCAAAGCUAAGCACUUCUCCCAUUGCAAGAAAGAUCAAUCUAGUAGGCCAAACCAAACUGAUAAUUCGAAGAGACUUGCAAAGAUAACCAAUCAUACAUAAAAGAAUUCAGAGAAGAUUCAAAUAUUAUUCAUAGAUAGACUUGAUCAUAAACCCACAAUUCAUCGGUCUCAACAAACACACCGCAAAAAGAAGAUUACAUCGAAUAGAUCUCCACAAGAGAGGGGGAGAACAUUGUAUUGAGAUCCAAAAAGAGAGAAGAAGCCAUCUAGCUACUAACUAUGGACCCGUAGGUCUGAGGUAAACUACUCACACUUCAUCUGAAGGGCUAUGGUGUUGAUGUAGAAGCCCUCCAUGAUCGAUGCCCCCUCCGGCGGAGCUCCGGAAUAGGCCCCAAGAUGGGAUCUCAUGGAUACAGAAAGUUACGGCGGUGGAAUUAGGGUUUUGGCUCCUCUUCUGAUUGUUUGGGGGUACGUGGAUAUAUAUAGGAGGAAGGAGUACGUCGGUGGAGCAACAGGGGGCCCACGAGGGUGGAGGGCGUGCCUAGGGUAGGCAGGCGCGCCCCCUACCUCGUGGCCUCCUGUUUUAUUUCUUGACGUAGGGUCCAAGUCUCCAGGGUCUUGUUCGUUGAGAAAAUCACGUUCCCGAAGGUUUCAUUCCGUUUGGACUCCGUUUGAUAUUCCUUUUCUUCGAAACCCUAAAAUAGGCAAAAAACAACAAUUCUAGGCUGGGCCUCUGGUUAAUAGGUUAGUCCCAAAAAUAGUAUAAAAGUGGAUAAUAAAGCCCAAUAAUGUCCAAAACAGUAGAUAAUAUAGCAUGAAGCAAUCAAAAAUUAUAGAUACGUUGGAGAUGUAUCAGGAGGCCGGCCGGCCCUUGCAGGGCGCGCUAGGAGGAGUCCUCCUCGUAGUAGGAGUAGGACUCCCCUUUCCUACUCCUAUUAGGAGGGGGAAAGGAAGGAGGAGAGGGAGAAGGAAGGAGAGGGAGGAAAGGAGGAAAGGGAAGCCGACCCCCUAGUCCAAUUCGAUUUGGGCUAGGGGGGCGCCCUGGCUUGUCCUGCCUCUUCUCUUCCACCACUUGGCCCAUGGCCCAAUACUUCUUCCUCCGUAUUCUCGUAACUCCCCGGUACUCCGAAAAAUACCCGAAUCACUCGGAACCUUUCCGAUGUCCGAAUAUAGUUGUCCAAUAUAUCGUUGGUUAAUCAGCCGCCGUGGAAGCCGUCCUCCACGCUGCGCCGUGCCGCCAGAAGAAGCAACCGAAGGAAAAUGGUGUGCAGCCGAUCCAAUCCGCCGCCAUGCGUUGGCCCUCCCAACCGCGCCAUGGCCGCGAGGCGCCAGGGCCUCGCCGUCCCAUUUACUGGUGGCGCGCGGGAUUUCCCGACGGCCUCCUAUGGGGGUGACAAGGGGAGAGAGAGGAUGGAGGAGGUUCAUAAGUGUCGUCGUCGCCUGAUCAUAUAUCUUAGAUUUUCACCAUGAAGAAAAUCCGUGCUCUAAAAAACAAUGCCUUCAACAAGUCUAGUGCGAAGCACAACCAAUUAAGACCAAACCUUGGGUUUUCACCUCAAAGCUAAGACUCCAUACUCCUGUGCUGCCGCCCCCACUUUGCUGAUGCCGCUGCUACAAGUCACGAAACACCAAGCAAACUCAUCAUCACCUGGAAGAUUAGAUCCACCAUUACUAGGCCUCAGACCUUAUUCCAUGACCUUCUCCGCCAUUGUCUUCACAUUGGAAAUUGAAACAUCGGCAUGUCCCAUAAUGUUAAUAGACAAUGAAGCUUCACAUCAUGCCUUCCUAAAGCCACACGGGCUGAAAUAGGGGCGCACAAGACCGAGUCCCAUUCGGUCCAGCAAUCUACAAGCGGCACCCAAAGGAGAUCUCAAGUGGAGCCUUCCAGAACUCGUUAACGACCAGAUCAAUGAGGGUCGACAUCAAGAAGAACACCGUCUUGGCAUUAGAAGAAAUCUAGGACCACCUCCAUUAUUGAAGCAAAACCAACAGCCCCCAUGCCGCCAGUCAGAACAACAGAGGAGAAGGCAACCACGACGGCACCUAUGUGAACGCACCAAUCGCUCCUACCUCGCCGCUCCAACUCGUGCCAAGCCAUGGCUAGAAUGGUCACGACAACCGGCGCCACGAUCUCCCGGCGGCAACCGAAGAGCAGCGGUGAUGCCACGACCUAGGGUUUCUGAAAGAUCCCCCAAAUCCACGCACCUCCGCCACCAGAUCGUUGCCACGAGGACCUCCUGCGACGAACCUGAGCUCAGGAUCCCGUGCAUCGCUCCUAGGCGCCACCACAAGGAGCCGCCUCCAUACCCAUCAUCCCGACGGAGGGGGUUCCAUCACUGCCAUGUUCGGAGCCGCCGCUCUGAAAGAAAUAUGCCCUAGAGGCAAUAAUAAAGUUGUUAUUUAUAUUUCCUAUAUCAUGAUAAAUGUCUAUUAUUCAUGCUAGAAUUGUAUUAAUCGGAAACUUAGUACAUGUGUGGAUACAUAGACAAACAGAGUGUCCCUAGUAUGCCUCUACUUGACUAGCUCGUUAAUCAAAGAUGGUUAAGUUUCCUAGCCAUAGACAUGUGUUAUCAUUUGAUGAACGGGAUCACAUCAUUAGAGAAUGAUGUGAUGGACAAGACCCAUCCGUUAGCUUAGCAUAAUGAUCGUUUAGUUUUUCUGCUAUUGCUUUCUUCAUGACUUAUACAUGUUCCUCAGACUAUGAGAUUAUGCAACUCCCGAAUACCGGAGGAACACCUUGUGUGCUAUCAAACGUCGCAAUGUAACUGGGUGAUUAUAAAGGUGAUCUACAGGUGUCUCCGAUGGUGUUUGUUGAGUUGGCAUAGAUCAAGAUUAGGAUUUGUCACUCCGUGUAUCGGAGAGGUAUCUCUGGGCCCUCUCGGUAAUGCACAUCACUAUGAUCCUUGCCAGCAAUGUGUCUAAUGAGUUAGCCACGGGAUGAUGCAUUAUGGAACGAGUAAAAAGACUUGCCGGUGACGAGAUUGAACUAGGUAUGAUGAUACCGACGAUCGAAUCUCGGGCAAGUAACAUACCGAUGACAAAGGGAACAAUGUAUGUUGUUAUGCGGUUUGACCGAUAAAGAUCUUCAUAGAACAUGUAGGAACCAAUAUGAGCAUCCAGGUUCCGCUAUUGGUUAUUGAUCGGAGAUAUGUCCCGGUCAUGUCUACAUAGUUCUCGAACCCGUAGGGUCCGCACGCUUAAUGUUUGAUGAUAAUUUGUAUUAUGAGUUUCGUGUUUUGAUGAACUGAAGUUUGUUCGGAGUCCCGGAUGAGACCACAGACAUGACGAGGAGUCUCGAAAUGANNNNNNNNNNNNNNNNNNNNNNNNNNNNNNNNNNNNNNNNNNNNNNNNNNNNNNNNNNNNNNNNNNNNNNNNNNNNNNNNNNNNNNNNNNNNNNNNNNNNNNNNNNNNNNNNNNNNNNNNNNNNNNNNNNNNNNNNNNNNNNNNNNNNNNNNNNNNNNNNNNNNNNNNNNNNNNNNNNNNNNNNNNNNNNNNNNNNNNNNNNNNNNNNNNNNNNNNNNNNNNNNNNNNNNNNNNNNNNNNNNNNNNNNNNNNNNNNNNNNNNNNNNNNNNNNNNNNNNNNNNNNNNNNNNNCCUAGUGGAAGAGAGGAGGUGGCGGCCAGGUGGAGGCGUGCGCCCCCCCAAGCCCAAUCCAAAUUGGGUUAGGGUUGGGGGGCCCCUUUCCUUCUCUCCUUUUCCUCUUUCCCCCCUUUUCCUUGUAGGAAUAGGGAAGGGGGGCGAAUCCUACUUGGAUCGGGAGUCCAAGUAGGACCCCCCUUGGCGCGCCACACCUAUGGCCGGCCUCCUCUCCUUCCCCCUUUAUAUACGUGGGGAGGGGGCACCCCAAAGACACACAAGUUGAUCUUUUUGCCGUGUGUAGUGCCCCCCUCCACAGUUACACACCUCGGUCAUAUCAUUGUAGUGCUUAGGCGAAGCCCUGCGUCAGUAACUUCAUCAUCACCGUCACCACGCCGUCGUGCUGACGGAACUCUCCCUCGGCCUCAACUGGAUCAAGAGUUCGAGAGACGUCAUCGAGCUGAAUGUGUGCUGAUCGUCGAGGUGUCGUGCGUUCGGUACUUGGAUCGGUUGGAUCGCGAAGAUGUUCGACUACAUCAACCGCGUUACUAAACGCUUCCGCUUUCGGUCUACGAGGGUACGUAGACACACUCUCCCCGUCUCGUUGCUAUGCAUCUUCUAGAUAGAUCUUGCGUGAUCGUAGGUAAUUUUUUUGAAAUACUGCGCUCCCCAACACGCUCCGGGACCCUCGGGCAACAGAUCGGACGACGCCCCUAUCGAAACCGCCCUCCAAGCCGCGCCGCGCUGCCAGAAGAAGUACUUGAAGGAAGAGGUUGUGCAACCGAUCUGAUCCGCCGCCAUGCGUUGGCCCUCCNNNNNNNNNNNNNNNNNNNNNNNNNNNNNNNNNNNNNNNNNNNNNNNNNNNNNNNNNNNNNNNNNNNNNNNNNNNNNNNNNNNNNNNNNNNNNNNNNNNNNNNNNNNNNNNNNNNNNNNNNNNNNNNNNNNNNNNNNNNNNNNNNNNNNNNNNNNNNNNNNNNNNNNNNNNNNNNNNNNNNNNNNNNNNNNNNNNNNNNNNNNNNNNNNNNNNNNNNNNNNNNNNNNNNNNNNNNNNNNNNNNNNNNNNGACGCGGGGAGCGUUCCUUUCUUUCUAUGUGAGGUACCUAGAAUAAUUAGCUUAUAUUUCUUUUCUUUUCUGCAACAAUCUUAUGUUUUAUGGUUUUCUUGUCUAUAUAUUUCUUGGGGACAACCAAACAUUAAAUACGUCAGUAUGAGCAGCACUGGAGGUGAAUUGAGGGGCGGAAGAAAAAAAUGAGUUAUGGGUUCUUCAGUUCACAUUGUGUAGCUUCUGUAAAUAGUGCUCACCUGUAAAUUGUGACUUGGCUGUCCAGGCAUUUCUCUUAAUUUAAUGCAAUCUUCAGUGCAUAUUGCAUUCCUUGUGUACAUACUAAAUUUAUAUUGCCAUUUUCAACAGUUUUCAUACUGAAUUGAGAUCACUGGUUUUCUUCAGAUUAGCAAUCAUAAUUUUCUUCAUAUGCACUGAAUAUAUAUAGAUUUCUAAAACAAUUAAAAUCAAGGCACGCUGUUUCGUCCGGUGUUUCUCUGUGGUCAUAUUUUAUUUUACCACUGAUAGUUCAACAUUUUUUUUGCGGGGAGUUCAACAUUCUUUCUACUCCAAUUCUCCUCCUUUCAUAAUGUCGAAGUGAACGCUUGCAUAGUUAUUCGAUCAAAAGUAGAAAAAAAAACAAAUUUAAGUUCAGAAACACGACGAUACGCAAAUGAAAGCAACAAAACAGACCAUGCAAAGAACGGUCUUUCGAGAAAAUAGUUUCCAAUAAAUACGACGGGGCUUUGUUGGUCCUUUAGGCUUAAGCCUUUUUUGGUUCAUAGGGUAAGAAAAUUAUAAGAAUAGAAAAAUCAUAGGAAAUGAGAUGACAUGCAUUUUAAAUCCUUUUUUUUGAGCAUCAGUACAGACACAAGUGUUCAUAUACACGCGCAUACACUCACCCCUAUGAACGCACGCACGCACAUCCUAUCCUUAUGAGCACCUCCGAGAGACUGAGCCGGCAUAUCAUCGUGGAUGAAUACUUGCUGUUUUCUAGAUUUUUGAAGUCACCGUAGGCGCCUCGUCGUCGACGGAAACGUCUCCUUUCAUUAAAAGUGCUUCGCCGGAAAUCCUGAAAUAAAUCCAGGAAUACUGCGAGCACCAGGAUUUGAACCCUGGUGGGUUGGGGAUACCACUGUCCACCUAACCAACUCAACCACAGGGUUGGGGACAUGCACCUCAAAUCCUAUGAGUAGGAAUAAGAAAGGAGAUAUUAUUUGUUUCAUAUCAUAGGAUUUCUUUUUAUUAAAUUUAGGCUAAUGUUUAUUUUUCUAUGAAAUGUGAAGGAUAGGAAGAUUUUCUUGAUAGGAAUAGGAUUCGAUUCCUACAAACCAAAGAGCUAUAUAGGAAUUUUUUCUAUAAAAAUCUUAUCAUAUGAAGGCCUCAAUUUGCUGUUCAUAAUUUUUUUAUAAUCCUGAGUGAAAAACUAGUUGCAAGAAUAGAUAAAAGCUGAUUAACCAACAAUAUACAUAACUAAAAUUGAACUGCAGAGCUUCUCCCCUCUCGAAGAUUUCUAACAAAGAAAACAACAGGCGCAAGAAAAGUCGAUUGUAAGCUGAACCGGUUCGAUCAACUCUGCCUGUUCGUGUCUCGGAGAGGAAGGCUUGUUAACUAUCAGGCCAACCCCCUCAGACGAUCAAUGAGCUCCCCUUUCUUCAGCUUGGAGUAGCCUCUCAUCCCCCUCACCCUCGCCAUGUCCCUCAGCUCGGGCACCUUCAUGUCCUCCAAAUUUGGCUGCCCGUCUUGGUGCAGUCCCUCUGGAAGCACAAGCAACGCGAUGAUGGUUCAGAACAAAGGAAACAUAAUUAUUUUCAUCCUGAUGCUGUCAAGUUACCGUGUGGUUGCAGCUUCAUGCCGGCCUCUUGGAGCGUGCCAGCCGGCGACGACGGCUUCCUCGUCCUCCCGGGCGCCUUGGGCGAGUCCCUGGUAAUGGCGGCCUGGAUGCCGCUGAAGAACUCUAUGAGCUCUUCUUUGCUGUGCUUCUUGACCGCCAUUCUUGAAGGCGGAUACCCGUUGGCUUCGGAUCUGACCGUCAGGGAAGAUGAGCAGGGCAGAGAACCCCGCAGUGGAGCGCGAUGGAGAGCAAAAUCUGCAGAUGCCACCGAAUUCAGGGCUUCAGACUUCGCCAUAAGAUUUUUUUCGGUCAGGUUGGAAGGGAGACUGAAACUAAGAGAGGGAGCCAUGGCAGAGACUGCAAUGGUGCCUGUUUCCUAUAUAUCAUUAAAAUUGUACUAGUACAAAAUGUAUUCACCAAUGUGGCAAUGCAGGCACAAUGACUGCAAUGGUGCCUGUUUCCUAUAUAUCAUUAAACGCACUAACUAACUAACCUUGAUGAAGAUGUUCUCUAUCGAAAAGGAGAUAACUACAAUGUUUCACAAUCACCUCUUGGGAGAGCAAAUGAUCCGGGGAAGGCGGCUUUUCGCAGAGGACUGGGAGAGAUUUGGUGAUGCUGCAUGAGGAUUCCUCCCAUUUCUUCUCUCUCCUUCCUCUACCAAUGAACCGAAGCUGGCCUCCUUGCUGUUCUCCAAUGGAGUGACAGUUGCGCUCUUGUUCUGUUUGCGCUCUAUCCUCUUCCUCAGCCACACGGAGGUGGUAAAUGAUGCAGUCCAUGAAGUUUUACAUAAACACCCUCGUUAGAGAAAUGGUCUUUUUUUAGCAUCGAUGGAGUAGAAAGGACCGUAACUAACUUGUGUCAUUUUAUGAAUUUUCCGGAAUGCGAGGGAGCAAAUGGCCAAAGAAUCAACCUAAUCCAGAAAGCUAUCCAUUGCGAGACCAAACCACGCCGACAGCGCCAAUUUCGCGGCAAAAUUUGAACUCCUCUGCCUCCAGCUCCCAUGGCGACGCCUCCAGCCGCCUCCAUUUCCAGCCACCCCCGAGCUCCGCAGCCAUGGCCGCCUCCCAAGAGCACCAGCCAGAGAGCGAGGGUCCGGUGUAGCGUCCUCGCACCGUCCGGCCAAGUCUUGGAGGCAGCCGCUUCUCCGAGGGACGCCGAGAAAUCGCCAAACUGGCUCCCGAGUUCCGACGUGAACCUGCAGAUUCAGAGGCUGUGUCGGUCGGGUGAGUUGGCGGAGGCUUUGAGGUUGCUCGGCUCGGCUGGGGUCGACGACCGGAGCUACGGCGCCGUCCUCCAGCUCUGCUCGCAGAUGAGGUCGUUGGAAGGUGGGAAGAGAGUUCAUUUCCUGGUUCGUGCAUCUGGCCUUGGAACAAAUGCAAUGGACAGUGUUCUCGGGCAGAAAUUGGUGCUGAUGUACUUGAAGUGUGGGGACUUGGGGAGUGCACGAAGGGUGUUUGACGAAAUGCCUCAAGUGAGCGAUGUGCGCGUUUGGACUGCUCUGAUGAGCGGUUAUGCCAAGGCUGGUGAUUUACGAGAAGGUGUGUCUCUGUUUAGUAGGAUGCACUGCUGUGGGAUUCGACCAGACGCAUACGCCAUUUCCUGCGUCUUGAAGUGCAUUGCUGGUUUGGGCAGUAUCGCGGAUGGUGAGGUGGUUCAUGGGUACCUUGAGAAGUUGGGUCUUGGCUCGCAGUGUGCGGUUGGAAAUGCAUUGAUGGCUCUGUACUCAAGGUGUGGCUGUAACGAGGAUGCUUUGCGGGUGUUUGAAGGAAUGCCUCAGCGGGAUGCUAUUUCUUGGAAUUCUGUCAUCAGUGGAUGUUUCUCAAAUGGAUGGCAUGACAGGGCUGUUGAGCAUUUUAGCGAGAUGUGGUUUGAAGGCCUGGAGAUCGAUUCAGUGACGAUGCUCAGUGUUUUGCCUGCUUGUGCUGAAUUAGGUUAUGAGCUUGUUGGAAGAGUGAUUCAUGGAUACUCUGUGAAAACUGGAUUACUCUGGGAGCUUGAGUCUCUGGAGAGAGGAGUAGAUGAAAAUCUGGGAUCCAAAUUGGUAUUCAUGUAUGUGAAAUGUGGUGAAUUAGGCUAUGCACGCAAGGUGUUUGAUGCAAUGUCAUCGAAAAGCGACAUACAUGUGUGGAAUCUACUAAUGGGUGGGUAUGCAAAGGUUGGUGAAUUUCAAGAAAGCCUAUUUCUUUUUGAGAAAAUGCAUGACAGUGGAAUUGCCCCGGAUGAGCACACCGUUUCAUGCCUUGUGAAGUGCGUCACUAGUUUGUACAGUGGAAGGGAUGGCCUAGUGGUUCAUGGGUAUCUUUUGAAGUUAGGUUUUGGUGCACAGUGUGCAGUUUGCAAUGCAAUGAUAUCAUUCUAUGCGAAAUCCAACAUGACUGAAGAUGCAAUCUUGGUGUUUGAUGGAAUGCCUCAUCGAGAUGUCAUAUCCUGGAAUUCUAUCAUCAGUGGCUGCACUUUCAAUGGAUUACACAGCAAAGCUAUUGAACUAUUUGUAAGAAUGUGGUUACAAGGACAGGAGUUGGAUUCAGCCACAUUGUUAAGUGUUUUGCCUGCUUGUGCACAGUUGCACCAUUGGUUCCUAGGGAGAGUGGUUCACGGGUACUCUGUGAAAACUGGGUUGGUAAGUGAGACAUCUCUUGCUAAUGUUCUUCUCGAUAUGUACUCAAAUUGCUCAGAUUGGCGUAGCACCAAUAAGAUAUUCAGGAACAUGGAUGAGAAAAACGUUGUCUCAUGGACAGCAAUAAUUACAAGUUAUACCAGGGCUGGUCUUUUUGACAAAGUGGCUGGGUUAUUGCAAGAAAUGGCACUAGAUGGUAUCAGACCAGAUACCUUUGCAAUUACCAGUGCUCUUCAUGCUUUUGCUGGUAAUGAAUCGCUGAAAGAUGGCAAAUCUGUCCAUGGAUAUGCCAUCAGAAAUGGAAUGGAGAAAGUUAUUCCUGUUACCAAUGCGCUGAUGGAAAUGUAUGCGAAAUGCGGAAAUAUGGAGGAAGCAAGGUUGAUUUUUGAUGGCGUGACGAGUAAGGAUAUGAUAUCAUGGAAUACGCUGAUAGGAGGUUACUCCAGGAAUAAUCUAGCCAAUGAGGCUUUCAGUUUGUUCACUGAAAUGCUGCCCCAGUUCAGACCUAAUGCCGUGACCAUGACCUGCAUCUUUCCUGCCGCGGCAAGCCUUUCAUCCCUGGAGCGGGGCAGAGAGAUGCACACCUACGCCUUACGAAGAGGGUACUUGGAAGACGAAUUCGUAGCCAACGCCCUCAUGGACAUGUAUGUUAAGUGUGGUGCAUUGCUGCUAGCUCAACGGCUGUUUGACAGGUUGAGCAACAAGAACCUCAUCUCAUGGACCAUCAUGGUAGCGGGAUAUGGCAUGCAUGGCCGUGGCAGGGAUGCCAUUGCGCUCUUUGAGCAGAUGAGGGCAAGUGGCAUUGAGCCGGAUGCAGCCUCUUUAAGUGCCAUACUGUAUGCCUGCAGCCAUUCAGGCCUGAGAGACGAGGGAUGGAGGUUCUUCGAUGCGAUGCGUCGUGAACACAAAAUAGAGCCCAGGCUGAAGCACUACACCUGCAUGGUUGACCUACUAACCAACACCGGAAAUUUGAGGGAAGCUUACGAGUUCAUCGAUUCGAUGCCGAUCGAGCCAGAUUCAAGUAUAUGGGUCUCAUUGCUGAAUGGAUGCAGAAUUCACAGGGAUAUCAGGCUUGCAGAGGAGGUAGCAGAGAGGGUCUUUGAACUGGAACCUGAAAACACCGGGUACUACGUUCUUCUUGCCAACAUAUAUGCUGAGGCUGAGAGAUGGGGGGCUGUAAGGAAGCUGAGGAACAAGAUCGGCGGCGGGGGGCUCCGGGAGAAAACUGGCUGCAGCUGGAUUGAGGCCAGGGGCAGGGUUCAGGUCUUCGUCGCAGGCAACCGGAGUCAUCCACAGGGGACAAGGAUUGCGGAGUUCCUGGAUGAAGUUGCCAGAAGAAUGCAGGAAGAAGGCCAUGAUCCGAAGAAGAGAUAUGCUCUGAUGGGCGCCGACGACGCGGUGAACGGCGAGGCACUCUGUGGCCACAGCUCAAAGCUCGCCGUCGCGUUCGGGGUGCUGAAUCUGUCGGAAGGGCGUCCGAUCCGCGUGACGAAGAACUCGAGGGUUUGCACUCACUGCCACGAGGCUGCCAAGUUCAUAUCCAAGAUGUGCAGCAGAGACAUCAUAUUGAGGGAUUCGAACAGGUUCCAUCAUUUUGAACAGGGCAGGUGCUCUUGCAGAGGUUACUGGUAGCAAAACAACUGCUGUGUAACAUGUGUUGCAUUUCAUUUACAGAUGAGGUGUUCUUGUAGUACUAUCAUUGUACCAUGCUGAUUCCCUUGUUACAGUACGAAGAGGUUGCCUGUCACAUUCACAACGUUGGGGGAAAAUGACUUUGUAAGAAACAUCAGUUACAGCUCUACAAAAUCAGAAGGAAACCAAAAGAUUUAAGCACAUUUCUCUAUCUUCGAUGAACUACCUACACAAACCCAAUCGUUCUAUACCGAAACCAUAAAUAUAUAAUGCCACGCAACAAAGACAUACAUGUCUAUUCUAGCAGCACAUCAGAGCACAAGAUUUCAGUACCACAUGACUUGUCUCAUUACAAACAAGAGUUUCUGCAGGGCUCUAGAGUCCCAUAUAAUGAUAUCCCAAAAGAAGAACCAACUGCUUGUCAUUUCACUAGGACUAGUUGCAGUUGGAUUGGGUUCAUGAGUCAGGGCCAACAUGCUGUGUUAUAACCCAGGAAACUGUCCAUAAGGUGACACCGCACAUUUCUCCAUCUAU
Molecule: long non-coding RNA, 19113 nt
Filed under: Triticum aestivum (bread wheat)
Lineage: Eukaryota; Viridiplantae; Streptophyta; Magnoliopsida; Poales; Poaceae
Description: long non-coding RNA (TAES_LNC025313)
Source: RNAcentral